This 489-nucleotide ribosomal RNA is filed under the name uncultured bacterium. Its description in RNAcentral is "bacterial SSU rRNA". It matches the Rfam family "Bacterial small subunit ribosomal RNA", at positions 775 to 1260 of the family's 1533-position model. The record is from RNAcentral.
AGUCAAUAGAUACCCAGGUAGUCCAUGCCGUAAACGAUGAUUGCUAGGUGUGGGGGGUCUGACCCCUUCCCGUGCCGGAGUUAAACAACAAUAAGCAAUCCACCUGGGGAGUACGGCCGCAAGGUUGAAACUCAAAGGAAUUGACGGGGGCCCGGCACAAGCAGUGGAGUAUGUGGUUUAAAUUCGAAGCAACGCGAAGAACCUUACCAGGUCUUGACAUCCACCGAAUCCUGUAGAGAUACGGGAGUGCCCUCCGGGGAACGGUGAGACAGGUGGUGCAUGGUUGUCGUCAGCUCGUGUCGUGAGAUGUUGGGUUAAGUCCCGCAACGAGCGCAACCCUUGUGAAUAGUUGCUACGAAAGAGCACUCUAUUCAGACUGCCGUUGACAAAACCGGAGGAAGUGGGGAUGACGUCAAAUCAUCAUGCCCCUUAUGACCUGGGCUACACACGUACUACAAUGGCCGUUAACAGAGGGAUGCAAUGCCGCGA